This 253-nucleotide ribosomal RNA is filed under the name Blautia schinkii. Its description in RNAcentral is "partial 16S ribosomal RNA". It matches the Rfam family "Bacterial small subunit ribosomal RNA", at positions 524 to 776 of the family's 1533-position model. The record is from RNAcentral. Lineage: Bacteria; Bacillati; Bacillota; Clostridia; Lachnospirales; Lachnospiraceae.
UACGUAGGGGGCAAGCGUUAUCCGGAUUUACUGGGUGUAAAGGGAGCGUAGACGGAUUAGCAAGUCUGAUGUGAAAGGCAGGGGCUCAACCCUUGGACUGCAUUGGAAACUGCCAGUCUUGAGUGCCGGAGAGGUAAGCGGAAUUCCUAGUGUAGCGGUGAAAUGCGUAGAUAUUAGGAGGAACACCAGUGGCGAAGGCGGCUUACUGGACGGCAACUGACGUUGAGGCUCGAAAGCGUGGGGAGCAAACAGG